This is a small nuclear RNA of Callithrix jacchus (white-tufted-ear marmoset), 107 nucleotides long. The record is from Ensembl. Lineage: Eukaryota; Metazoa; Chordata; Mammalia; Primates; Cebidae.
GUGCUUGCCUCGGCAGCACAUAUACUAAAGUUGGAACGAUAAAGAAAAGAUUAGCAUGGCCCCUGCACAAGGAUGACAUGCAAAUUUGUCAAGUGUUUCAUGUUUUU